Molecule: ribosomal RNA, 316 nt
Filed under: uncultured bacterium
Lineage: Bacteria
Description: bacterial SSU rRNA
Rfam family: Bacterial small subunit ribosomal RNA
Source: RNAcentral
GAUGAACGCUAGCUACAGGCUUAACACAUGCAAGUCGAGGGGCAGCAUUUCAGUUUGCUUGCAAACUGGAGAUGGCGACCGGCGCACGGGUGAGUAACACGUAUCCAACCUGCCGAUAACUCGGGGAUAGCCUUUCGAAAGAAAGAUUAAUACCCGAUGGUAUAAUCAGACCGCAUGGUCUUGUUAUUAAAGAAUUUCGGUCAUCGAUGGGGAUGCGUUCCAUUAGGUUGUUGGCGGGGUAACGGCCCACCAAGCCUUCGAUGGAUAGGGGUUCUGAGAGGAAGGUCCCCCACAUUGGAACUGAGACACGGUCCAA